GACGAACGCUGGCGGCGUGCUUAACACAUGCAAGUCGAGCGGAGCGGCGAACGGGGGAGUAACGCGUGAGUAACUGCCACCCUCCCUGGGAUAGCAGUUGGAAACGGGUGCUCAUACCGGAUAGUGGGGGAUGACGCGCGGCAUCUCAGCUUGUUGGGGGUGUGGUGGCCUACCAAGGCGACGGCGGGUAGCCGGCCUGGGAGGGCGACCGUGCACAUUGUGCUGCGAUACGGGCCAAACUGCUACGGGGGGAAGUGGUGGGGAAUAGUGCGCAAUGGGGGAAACCCUGAGGCAGCGACGCCGCGGUCGGAAUGACUGCCUUCGGGUUGUAAACCGCUUUCAGCCAUGACGCGGUAGUGGCAGAAGAAGCACCGGCUAACUACGUGCCAGCCGCCGCGGUAAUAC
Molecule: ribosomal RNA, 405 nt
Filed under: uncultured bacterium
Lineage: Bacteria
Description: partial 16S ribosomal RNA
Rfam family: Bacterial small subunit ribosomal RNA
Source: RNAcentral